Podarcis lilfordi (Lilford's wall lizard) is the source of this 85-nucleotide non-coding RNA. Lineage: Eukaryota; Metazoa; Chordata; Lepidosauria; Squamata; Lacertidae. The record is from the annotation of a GenBank genome assembly.
GCUUUACUCAGAGUAGACCCACUGAAAGUAAUGAAUAGGACUAAACUAGGUCCAUUAAUUUCAGUGGGUCUACUCUGAGUAAAGC